GACGAACGCUGGCGGCGUGCCUAAUACAUGCAAGUAGAACGCACAGUUUAUACCGUAGCUUGCUACACCAUAGACUGUGAGAUGCGAACGGGUGAGUAACGCGUAGGUAACCUGCCUGGUAGCGGGGGAUAACUAUUGGAAACGAUAGCUAAUACCGCAUAAUAUUAAUUAUUGCAUGAUAAUUGAUUAAAAGGUGCAAUUGCACCACUACCAGAUGGACCUGCGUUGUAUUAGCUAGUAGGUGAGGUAACGGCUCACCUAGGCGACGAUACAUAGCCGACCUGAGAGGGUGAUCGGCCACACUGGGACUGAGACACGGCCCAGACUCCUACGGGAGGCAGCAGUAGGGAAUCUUCGGCAAUGGACGAAAGUCUGACCGAGCAACGCCGCGUGAGUGAAGAAGGUUUUCGGAUCGUAA
This 418-nucleotide ribosomal RNA is filed under the name uncultured bacterium. RNAcentral's name for it is "bacterial SSU rRNA". It matches the Rfam family "Bacterial small subunit ribosomal RNA", at positions 28 to 428 of the family's 1533-position model. The record is from RNAcentral.